AUACGUAGGGGCCAAACGUUGUCCGGAUUUAUUGGGCGUAAAGGGCUCGUAGGCGGUUUAACAAGUCGGUCGUGAAAACCCGGGGCUCAACCCCGGGACGCCGGUCGAAACUGUUAUGACUAGGGUCCGGUAGAGGUGAGUGGAAUUCUCGGUGUAGCGGUGGAAUGCGCAGAUAUCGAGAGGAACACCAGUAGCGAAGGCGGCUCACUGGGCCGGUACCGACGCUGAGGAGCGAAAGCAUGGGGAGCAAACAGGAGUAGAAACCCUAGUAGUCC
Molecule: ribosomal RNA, 275 nt
Filed under: uncultured bacterium
Lineage: Bacteria
Description: partial 16S ribosomal RNA
Rfam family: Bacterial small subunit ribosomal RNA
Source: RNAcentral